RNAcentral lists this ribosomal RNA (477 nucleotides) under uncultured bacterium. Its description in RNAcentral is "SSU rRNA". It matches the Rfam family "Bacterial small subunit ribosomal RNA", at positions 26 to 518 of the family's 1533-position model. The record is from RNAcentral.
AGGACGAACGCUGGCGGCGUGCUUAACACAUGCAAGUCGAACGGAAAGGCCCGCUUGCGGGUACUCGAGUGGCGAACGGGUGAGUAACACGUGGGCAACCUGCCCUCAGCUUCGGGAUAACACUUGGAAACAGGUGCUAAUACCGGAUAAUAACUUCGCAUCGCAUGGUGUGUUGUUCAAAGUUUUUCGGCUGAGGAUGGGCCCGCGGCCUAUCAGCUUGUUGGUGGGGUGAUGGCCUACCAAGGCGACGACGGGUAGCCGGCCUGAGAGGGCGACCGGCCACACUGGGACUGAGACACGGCCCAGACUCCUACGGGAGGCAGCAGUGGGGAAUAUUGCGCAAUGGGCGGAAGCCUGACGCAGCGACGCCGCGUGAGGGAUGACGGCCUUCGGGUUGUAAACCUCUUUCAGCUCUGACGAAGCGGAAGUGACGGUAGGAGCAGAAGAAGCACCGGCCAACUACGUGCCAGCAGCCGC